GGUCCUGGAGUGUUAACACGUGAGAUUGCAAAUCUCGAAAAGCAGGGUAAAACCUGCCGGGACUU
RNAcentral lists this transfer RNA (65 nucleotides) under Lithobates pipiens (northern leopard frog). RNAcentral describes it as "tRNA-Cys". It matches the Rfam family "tRNA". From Rfam's summary of the family: Transfer RNA (tRNA) molecules are approximately 80 nucleotides in length. Their secondary structure includes four short double-helical elements and three loops (D, anti-codon, and T loops). The record is from RNAcentral. Lineage: Eukaryota; Metazoa; Chordata; Amphibia; Anura; Ranidae.